RNAcentral lists this long non-coding RNA (431 nucleotides) under Rhinopithecus roxellana (golden snub-nosed monkey). RNAcentral's name for it is "lncRNA (ENSRROG00000046079.1)". The record is from RNAcentral. Lineage: Eukaryota; Metazoa; Chordata; Mammalia; Primates; Cercopithecidae.
UGCAUCUUCAUAUCCUCACACCACCGAAUUCAAUGGAAGAGUCUUACCAUUGCUUGCAGCAAGUCCUGCCAUUUACUCUUUUCUUAUUGGCCCCAAAUGAGUCACGUGCUCAUGUGUGGAUCAAUCCUGUGGCUAAGGAGAUGAAAUGAUCUGCCCCACUCAGGGCUGAGAAUGAGGUCUCACUUUAGCUGCGUCGCCAGAAUGGUGUUUCCAAGCAAAACUGUGUUGCUGGUGUGGAUGCCAGGCAAUAAACACACAAUUUCUGCUACAUGGAAAUUUCUCAUUUUUAUGAAAUACGGCUUGGAACAAAUAGUCACCCAGGACAGAGGUCCCGAACCCCUGGAGCAUGGACCGGUAUUCGUCUGUGGCCUGUUCCUAACUGAGCUGCACAGCAGGAGGUGAGUGGCAAGUAAAUGAGCAUUACUGCCUGA